UUAACCUUCUCUCUCGGUCUGUCUCUUUAUCUCCAUUGAUAUUUUCCAUAAUCAAAUUUUGGUACGCCCAAAUUACAAAUCCAUGAUAAUUUUGAAGAUUUCUUUUCAUGUUCUAGUCUGAUUGAAAUUUUCACUUCUUUUUCUUCUCUUCGACAAUAUUUUGGUUUCGAAUAGACCUAAGUGGACAAUUGACGCUUCAUUAAGGUAAGACAAAUUUGCCAAAAUUUUUUGUAACCCAAAUUUUGCUAGAAAUUGAUAGAGAUUGCUAGAAAUUGCUAUAUAUAUCACUACUAGAAUUUAUGCUUUUAACGACCAAUAAAUAACGACGUGAACAGAAAAUCAUCGUUAAUAUAGCCAAAAUAUUUUUCUUGUUACGCGCGGGUCAUCUUGAAUUUCUAAACAUUUAAACAAAAAAAAUUGGGCGGAUAUUUUUCACCUUUGUCCGUCGUUAAUGUCUGGACUUCAAAGCAUUUAUAUAAUUCCACUAAAUCCUCUCCAAAACCUAAGAUUGAAAAGAUAAAACCCUCGAAAAGUUUAACGGGAGGCCAUGGCUGGAGUCCAUUUAGAAGUACAAACCAGGUUCAAUGCCUGUUGGCUGGUUGCACACUAAGUGUCUAUGCUUUACAACCUAGAUACAAAUCAGGAAAAAAAAGUAAGAACUUACUGUUUAAUUGAGUAGUCGGAUCUUUAUAUCAUGUUGCAGUUAUGCUGAUCACAUGUUUGAAAAUUAGUAUUUGCUACUAGCUCGUAUUACUUUCAAAUUAUGCCUGAUUUAAUGUGAUCGCAAGAAAGUUUCUUUUAGUCAUAAUUAUUUACAGGCCUGUUAGAUUACAAGCCUGUGAAUUAUUAAGCUUCGCCUAGAACAUGGCAUCCCAAAUAUUGUUACAGGCUUGUAAAAAACAGCUUCUGAGGGUAUGGCUUGUACGAGCUUAAGUGCACAAGCAUAAAAGCGAAUAGAUAACAUCAGGUGUGACCGUGUGAGGGUAUAUAUUACUAGUAUAUGAUUUUUUGGUUUCAAUUUCUUAUUUAAGUUAAGAUAUAAGUAAGUUGUCCUAAUAAAUGGAGAUUUGAGAAACAAAACCAAAAAUUCAGCAUGUAUGGAUAUGAAACUAAACCAAACCUCAGCUUGUAUGAGCUUGUGCACUUGCACUAGUAAGUUGCAGCAUUAAAUGGAUUAUCAUAAACUAAACCAAAACUUCAGCAUGUUUUGAUAUGAAACAGCCUAAUAUGAAGUAUAUACUUUGCUUCAUUUGUCACAUAACUCAUUCCAUAUAGCUAGCAGCUAAGUCAAAUGAGAUAUUCUUCAAGUUGGCCACUUUUAGGGAAAAUAAAUGGUACAAUAACUAAACAACACAUGUUUAACUUGUGAUUUGCAAGAGGGCAGCAAGAUUAAACUUCUUUUUUGUUGGUUUUGUGGUCUGAUGUCACGCUGUUUAACAGGUACCAAGGGUCAGGCCUGUUUCUCACUGAAGUCAAACCCAGUUAGCAGACAACAGACCACUAGCUAGCUAAGUUAUCCAGGCUCUAAAUUUCACUCAACAUAACCCUGUCAGAUCACUGGCAUUUUGACAUGGAUAUGGACAUAGAUAGUGACCCAAUCAUAGGAUGUUUUUCAUAAAAUAGCAUAAUCUAACCACUAGGACGUGAACUAUAGCCACCAGGACCUGAACCAUAGCCAGGAAAAUGUUAGUCUUAAAUUAAUGGCCUGAAUAGAGAAGCUUCACACUUGUUCUUCUGCAAAUCAUUUGGUUUCCUAAACUCUGAUUGUAUUUCUCUUCAUUUGGUAAUUUUACUCUGAUAAUUCUUCAUAGAAUCAUGGUUGCUACUUUAAGAUGCAGAGAAAUACUAUGUUUACCCUUAUUUGAAAGAGUAAAUUACUUUUUCAACUUCAUAGUAAAUUACUCUGAUAAAUUUCAAGCACCCAAAAUAAGGUAAAUAUUUCUAUCUUUAGCAUUCUGGCACUAAGUAAGAGUUUAGCUUACAACUAAGCUAGAACAGGAUGACAUAUAUUACGUGCACGAGGAACAAAUCAAUAAUACUACUUCUGCAACUUUUAAUGGAAAACUAGUGAAGUAUGACAGUCUACGGUAUGAAAUCCUUCCCAGUUUCUUAGAUAUAAAAUACAAUCACAAUUUACAACUUAGUUUGUUUUGCCUAAAAUCCUUCCAUUUCCGCCGAACUUGUGGGUUGGAAAUGAGGGUCCAAUCCUUGGUGUGUUCCCUGUUGGCAGCGUUGUUAGCUUCUAUGGCAUCCAUGUAAACUAUAAUCAAUACAUUGUACUGCAUAGAGUGUUAUUAAUCUAUUAUAGCUUGUGUUAUGUUAGUCAUACUAAUCAUUUUCAAUGUAUGUUUUUAUUUAUAUUAAAUUUGUUUGUGGUUGUUUUUAUAUUUUUAACCUGAUGCUGUUGCACUUAAUUUAGUUUCUAUUUUUUGUUUUUCUCCUCCUAAUUCCCAUGUUUAUACGUGUUGUAGGAGGGAAUUAAGAAAAUAAUGUAAGAAGAACCAACACUUUUCCAUGUACACGUAUUUAUUCUCAUCUAUAUCCUUUUCUGUUUUAUUUUUACUUUCCCAUGUUAUGAUAUUUAACUUUUUUUUUUGCUUCUUUAUAUAGAUAGCACAAAAGGUGAAAUUUGCUACUAUUUGCUACUAUUUUGUAAGGCUUGUUUUGGAUUAUGCUACUUUCUCUCCCUUGUAUUCUCUCUGAAAUUUCUGUGAUGUGAAUUACUAAUACAAAGACCCUUGAUAAGCUUGAUGGUAUGUUUACAUGGUAGUUACUGAUACAAAUUAGAUCUUAUAGUGCAUAGUAAUUUGUUCCUUGGUACUAUCAUAAGCACUUGUUUCCAAAUUGAUUUAGUUAGCAUUUGUUUCUAUGUAGACUAGAAAGCAUCAUUCUUCUUUUACAUUGUCAGGAAAUAGUCCAAAAACUUGUAGUUGUAGCUGUUAUGUGCAACUGUAAUGAAUCUCAUGUUAUCCAGAGUCUAUUUUGUUUAUGCGAAGAAGUAUUAUUGGAUUUAGAGUUCCAUUUUACUAAACCAUCUACUUCUUUAUCUCGUCGUUUAGAUCUAGUUCUGAUAAAGAGUACAAGAACAUUGCAAGCAGAGACAACAUGUUAAUGGUCACUUUUGUUUUCAGGCUCUAGAUGAUAUGGCUGCUUACUUCUUCAUACUAAUGUUGAACCUUGUUUGUUGUUGUGAAAUGAAAGUGGUUGCGGUGCUGAAAGAUUGUGAGGGGGGUACUAGAGCCUAGCAGAUAUAUGUUUGUGCAUGCAAGUAUGUUAUUUGGCACCAUUUUAUACUGUUGAUAUUUUCGAGGUUUUGUAGCUAUAGGAUGAGCUGCUUAGUUAUCAUGUGAAUCUGGCUAAAUUAAGAUUGUUGUUCAUUGUGAACCUGUGUUUUCUUAAGUUUGUAGAGGAUUUUCUUACUCUUUUAUAAGAUACUAUUCAAAGGAUAUUCUUAUUGGAUAUGAUAUUUAAUUCUGUAUUGUGUUCACUCUAAUGAUUUAUGGAAUGUUUUUUUCCAUUUCACUUAAACUUAUUCUACUUGUUGGACACUGUAGGUAUUAUACGGUCUCCAUCACCUAUGAAAGAAAGAUCUAGGUCUCACUCUAGGUCUAGAUCCAGGUCCAAAUCUAUGUUUCCUCCUAGACAUCGGUCUCGUUCUCGUCCCAGGUCAAGGUAUGCGGGCCGUGGCAGGUUAGCUUGAAGCUUGAAAGGCACUUUUGUUGUUCACUUUUUUCUUGACUGCCAACUCUUUAUGCAACUAGCAGGAUUGAGAUCCUCUAGAGUCACUCACAAAAGGUGUUUAAGUCGUCUCGUGAUAGGGUUUUGGAGGAGGAAUAACACUUAAAGAAAUAUCAGGACCACAACCAAGUAGGGUGUAACUUCAAUAUAAGUUGAGUGAGGCAAACAAACAAAAUUGUCUUCUUACCAAUCGCGUGGAUACAUUACAAGAAGAAAACAAUGCACUUAAGAGUCGCAUGAGUUCAGUUGAAGUUGAGCUUAAUGAGCUUAAAGCAUUUAAAGAAGUGCUCUUACAACGCUUUUCAAGAGAUGACACUCCAAGAGAGAGCAACUCAACUAGUUACCUCAACUAGUUACCUCAACUAGUUAAAUUUUAUUUUGUUCUUCUAGAUUGAACAAGAAUUAUUUGUUUUUAGUUUUUAAAUUUAAAGACAAAGGAUGUGAUUUUUGGUUUUGCAUAACUUGAAAUUCUAUUGUCAAAAAUCUUUUGAGUAAUGAAUUUUCAUUUGUGUUAA
Spinacia oleracea (spinach) is the source of this 4253-nucleotide long non-coding RNA. RefSeq lists it as uncharacterized. The record is from RefSeq and is a predicted model, not a curated record. The transcript has 2 exons. NCBI's taxonomy places the organism in Eukaryota, Viridiplantae, Streptophyta, Magnoliopsida, Caryophyllales, Amaranthaceae.